AACGCGAAAGUCCCGCAAGGGAUUAGUAGAGUGGCAAACGGGUGAGUAACGCGAGGGUGACCUGCCUUCGAGCGGGGGAUAACGUUUCGAAAGGAACGCUAAUACCGCAUGACAUCCUGCCUUUGAACAGGUGGAGAUCAAAGCUGGGGAUCGCAAGACCUAGCACUUGAAGAGGGGCCCGCGUCUGAUUAGCUAGUUGGUGAGGUAACGGCUCACCAAGGCGACGAUCAGUAUCCGGCCUGAGAGGGCGGACGGACACACUGGGACUGAGACACGGCCCAGACUCCUACGGGAGGCAGCAGUGGGGAAUUGUUCGCAAUGGGCGCAAGCCUGACGACGCAACGCCGCGUGGAGGAUGAAGACCUUCGGGUCGUAAACUCCUUUCGAUCGAGACGAAAGACUUUCGGGUGAAUAAUCCGGGAGAGUGACGGUACCGAGAGAAGAAGCCCCGGCUAACUCCGUGCCAGCAGCCGCGGUAAUACGGGGGGGGCAAGCGUUGUUCGGAAUUACUGGGCGUAAAGGGCUCGUAGGCGGCCAACUAAGUCGGACGUGAAAUCCCUCGGCUUAACCGGGGAACUGCGUCUGAUACUGGAUGGCUUGAGUGUGGGAGAGGGAUGCGGAAUUCCAGGUGUAGCGGUGAAAUUGCGUAGAUAUCUGGAGG
This 661-nucleotide ribosomal RNA is filed under the name uncultured bacterium. RNAcentral's name for it is "bacterial SSU rRNA". It matches the Rfam family "Bacterial small subunit ribosomal RNA", at positions 65 to 704 of the family's 1533-position model. The record is from RNAcentral.